AAACAUAGCUCUAUGAAAAUUAAUAUAAAGUUAUACCUGCCCAAUGAUAUUAUUUUAAUGGCCGCAGUACUUUGACUGUGCUAAGGUAGCAUAAUAAAUUGACUUUUAAUUGAGGUCUAGAAUGAAUGGAUAAAUGGAUAUAAGCUGUCUUUAUAAAAUUUAUCUAAACUUUCUUAAUAGGUGAAAAUUCCUUUAAGAAAAUCUAAGGGACGAGAAGACCCUAGGAGUUUAAAGGAGACUUUUGUUGGGGCAACAUUAUAGUAGUUAACCUAUAAUAUAAUAUUAAAUAUAACGAAAUAUAUUAAUUAAAAAUAAACUACCCUAGGGAUAACAGCAUAAUUUAUUAUUAAGUAAGUUUGUGACCUCGAUGUUGGACUAGGGACUUUAUUUAUUAAAUAUAACUAUUGACAUGUUCUGUUCGAACAUUUUAUACCUACAUGAUCUGA
Molecule: ribosomal RNA, 446 nt
Filed under: Everettia paulbasintali
Lineage: Eukaryota; Metazoa; Mollusca; Gastropoda; Stylommatophora; Ariophantidae
Description: partial large subunit ribosomal RNA
Rfam family: Archaeal large subunit ribosomal RNA
Source: RNAcentral